GACGAACGCUGGCGGCGUGCUUAACACAUGCAAGUCGAACGGAAAGGCCCUGCUUUUGUGGGGUGCUCGAGUGGCGAACGGGUGAGUAACACGUGAGUAACCUGCCCUUGACUUUGGGAUAACUUCAGGAAACUGGGGCUAAUACCGGAUAGGAGCUCCUGCUGCAUGGUGGGGGUUGGAAAGUUUCGGCGGUUGGGGAUGGACUCGCGGCUUAUCAGCUUGUUGGGGGGGUAGUGGCUUACCAAGGCUUUGACGGGUAGCCGGCCUGAGAGGGUGACCGGGCAGGGGGGGAGGGCGAGCGGGUGACAGAUGGCAGGGGGGGGGGCGGGGGGGGAAAGGGAGGGGCGGGCGGAGGCCUGGAGCGGCGAGGCCGGGGGGGGGAUGAUGGGGCGCGGGGUGUAGCCCGCUGCCGUCUGUGAGGAGGGGGGGGUGAUGGUGAGGGGAAAGGAACCGCCGGGUACCGGCGGGCCAGAGGGGGGGUGAAGAAGGGGAGGAGGAACAGCGUGAGG
This 509-nucleotide ribosomal RNA is filed under the name uncultured bacterium. RNAcentral's name for it is "partial 16S ribosomal RNA". The stretch from base 20 to 323 matches the Rfam family "Bacterial small subunit ribosomal RNA", at positions 47 to 358 of the family's 1533-position model. The record is from RNAcentral.